ACAACAAGUUAUCAGGGACAAAGGACGGUGAGCCGCCGAGUUUAGAAAUAAACUACCUGAAUAACUGGCC
Molecule: non-coding RNA, 70 nt
Organism: Candidatus Daviesbacteria bacterium
Lineage: Bacteria; Candidatus Daviesiibacteriota
Source: Rfam